This 688-nucleotide ribosomal RNA is filed under the name uncultured Syndiniales. Its description in RNAcentral is "SSU rRNA". It matches the Rfam family "Eukaryotic small subunit ribosomal RNA", at positions 629 to 1324 of the family's 1831-position model. The record is from RNAcentral. Lineage: Eukaryota; Dinophyceae; Syndiniales.
CGUGGUUGGGUAUUUGUCGAUCGCUACCGGUUGCUCCUUGUGAGUUUUACUAGGUUUGCGAGCGACAUUCUACCGGGGACAGUAUUUUCACUUCAUUGUGCAGUGCUGAAGCCGGGACCAUUACUUUGAGAAAAUGAGAGUGUUCCAAGCGGGCGUUUGCCAGAAUAUAUUAGCAUGGAAUAAUAGCAUAGGACCUCUAUCUGAUGCUGUUGGUUAUCGGAGAGAGGGAACGCAAAUAGGGAUAGUUGGGGGCAUUCGUAUUUAACUGUCAGAGGUGAAAUUCUUGGAUUUUUUAAAGACGAACUACUGCGAAAGCAUCUGCCCAGGAUGGUUUUUAUUAAUCAAGAACGAAAGUUAGGGGAUCGAAGACGAUCAGAUACCGUCCUAUUUUUAACCAUAAACUAUGCCGACUAGAGAUUGGCCCCAAUAAUUAUGUUUUGUGGUCAGCAGCUUGAGAGAAAUCAAAGUCUUCGGGUUCCGGGGGGAGUAUGGCCGCAAGGCUGAAACUUAAAGGAAUUGACGGAAGGGCACCACCAGGAGUGGAGCCUGCGGCUUAAUUUGACUCAACACGGGGAAACUCACCAGGUCCAGACAUAGAGAGGAUUGACAGACUGAUAGCUCUUUCUUGAUUCUAUGGGUGGUGGUGCAUGGCCGUUCUUAGUUGGUGGAGUGAUUUGUCUGGUUAAUU